RNAcentral lists this long non-coding RNA (1088 nucleotides) under Cyanistes caeruleus (blue tit). RNAcentral describes it as "lncRNA (ENSCCEG00000014661.1)". The record is from RNAcentral. Lineage: Eukaryota; Metazoa; Chordata; Aves; Passeriformes; Paridae.
CGAGCUGGCUGCCUCACAGACUCAUCCCAGUUUAAUCUUCACGGUGCAUCAGGCACAGGGGAAAAAACACAACGAUUUUCCUUUUUUUUUGGGGACUUAAUCUUUACCUGGGGUCAGAUUUACCAAUCCUCCCACUAAUCCCCCAACGCCUUCGCAAAGCAAGGGACCCCCUCCUCCACCAGCCCCUCGGGAGCGGGUCCAGGAAUCACCCAUAGCCCCAGGGUGCCUCGGAAUUAGCACUCCAGGUGAAUUUUUCCCAACAAUACACCUUUUAAAAGGCUUUUUUUUAUUUAAGGAACCUGAAUGUGAGGAUGGGGGGAAGGAGAUCACACAGUAGUGGGCAGGUAGGGGCAAAGCCUGGGGGUCUUGGCUCCCCUGACAGGCUCAGAUUUGGGGGAAGGAUGAGAAAUCACUUAAAAGAUUCCAUGCCAUUCCCUUCCUCAUUUUACCCAUGUGUAGAGAUGAAAGGUCACCCCCUCUCCGGGGGUUCAGAUGGCACCAGCUGCCCCUCAACAACCUCCAGCUCAUCCCUGGUGGAGCAGGACUGGGGAUCAGCCCAGACCUGCAGAUGGGAGAAUUGGGGGGUUGUGGGGACAAGAGUUCCCAUGGAUGUGGGGGCUCAGGGAUCCCUGUGGAUGGGGGGGCCACAGGGCUCUGCAGAACUGGGCAGGGAGAGCAGGGGAGGCUCUGCAGAGAGGGGCAGCAGGGGAUCUGCAUAUGGGGGGACAGGGGUCCCUGCAGAUGAGGGGACACAGAGCUUUGAAGGGACAGGGUUCAGCAGAACAGAGGGACAGGGAUGCCUGGAGGGAACGUGGGGCUUUGAAGAUGGGGGCACAGGAGUCCCUAAAGAAGUGGGGACAGGGGUCCCUAUGGAUGAGGAGACAGGGGGCUCUGUAGGAGGGGGACAGGGGCCCUGGCAGAUUGAGGACAGGGCCCCCUGCAGAAGAUCAGACAUCACUGUCCAUGUGGGGGACAGGAGAGGGACAGAGGGGACAGAGGGGACAGAGGGGACAGAGGUCCCUGCACACAGGUGACACACAGACCCCUACAAAUCUGCCCUUUCCACGCCAACCUCCCGCAGUGCCCCU